RNAcentral lists this ribosomal RNA (253 nucleotides) under uncultured bacterium. Its description in RNAcentral is "partial 16S ribosomal RNA". It matches the Rfam family "Bacterial small subunit ribosomal RNA", at positions 524 to 776 of the family's 1533-position model. The record is from RNAcentral.
GACAGAGGGUGCAAGCGUUGUUCGGAAUUACUGGGCGUAAAGCGUGUGUAGGCGGCCACGUAAGUCGGAUGUGAAAGCCCUGGGCUCAACCCAGGAAGUGCACUCGAUACUGCGUGGCUCGAGUACUGGAGAGGUUGGUGGAAUUCUCGGUGUAGAGGUGAAAUUCGUAGAUAUCGAGAGGAACACCGGUGGCGAAGGCGGCCAACUGGACAGAUACUGACGCUGAGACACGAAAGCGUGGGGAGCAAACAGG